RNAcentral lists this ribosomal RNA (564 nucleotides) under Cercomonas sp. HFCC555. RNAcentral's name for it is "eukaryotic LSU rRNA". It matches the Rfam family "Eukaryotic large subunit ribosomal RNA", at positions 703 to 1258 of the family's 3401-position model. The record is from RNAcentral. Lineage: Eukaryota; Cercozoa; Cercomonadida; Cercomonadidae.
AAAACCCUGAUGCGCAAUGAAAGUGAAGCUAGUCUUGUACUAGUGAGGUAGGAACCGCAAGGGGCACUAUCGACCGAUCGUUCAUUCAUGAAAGAUUUGAGUAAGAGCAUAUCUGUUGGGACCCGAAAGAUGGUGAACUAUGCCUGAUCAGGGUGAAGCCAGGGGAAACUCUGGUGGAGGCUCGUAGCGAUACUGACGUGCAAAUCGUUCGUCUGAAUUGGGUAUAGGGGCGAAAGACUAAUCGAACCAUCUAGUAGCUGGUUCCCGCCGAAGUUUCCCUUAGGAUAGCUGGAACUUAUACAGUUUUAUCAGGUAAAGCUAAUGAUUAGAGGUCCUAGAGUUGAAACAACUUUAACCUAUUCUCAAACUUUAAAUAGGUAAGAAAUCUAUGCUUGCUUUAUUGAAGCUAGAUCUCGAAUGAAAGUUCUUAGUGGGCCAUUUUUGGUAAGCAGAACUGGCGAUGCGGGAUGAACCGGACGUUAAGUUAAGGUGCCAAACUAUUCGCUCAUCUAGAUACUCCUAAAAGGUGUUGGUUCAUUUAGACAGCAGGACGGUGGUCAUGGA